Molecule: ribosomal RNA, 460 nt
Filed under: uncultured bacterium
Lineage: Bacteria
Description: partial 16S ribosomal RNA
Rfam family: Bacterial small subunit ribosomal RNA
Source: RNAcentral
CCUACGGGUGGCAGCAGUGAGGAAUAUUGGUCAAUGGACGAAAGUCUGAACCAGCCAAGUAGCGUGAAGGAUGACUGCCUUAUGGGUUGUAAACUUCUUUUAUACAGGAAUAAAACGAGGCACGUGUGCCUUUUUGCAUGUACUUUAUGAAUAAGGAUCGGCUAACUCCGUGCCAGCAGCCGCGGUAAUACGGAGGAUCCGAGCGUUAUCCGGAUUGAUUGGGUUUAAAGGGAGCGUAGAUGGGUUGUUAGGUCAGUUGUGAAAGUUUGCGGCUCAACCGUAAAAUUGCAAUUGAUACUGGCAGUCUUGAAUGCAGAUGAGGUAGGCGGAAUUCGUGGUGUAGCGGUGAAAUGCUUAGAUAUCACGAAGAACCCCGAUUGCGAAGGCAGCUUACUAAACUGUGACUGACGUUGAUGCUCGAAAGUGUGGGUAUCAAACAGGAUUAGAUACCCUUGUAGUC